UUUACUACCUAUGAGCAGACUUGAUGGUGAACAGAGCAGCACGUGUGGAGUGAGAGCGAGGACUGCCUGCCUUUCUUGCAGCUAGCACAGGAUUACAUCUCCUCCUGCGGCAAGAAGACGCUCCAUGAAGUUUUGGAAAAAGUCUUCAAGUCUUUCAGACCGUUGCUGGGGCUUCCAGAUGCAGAUGACGAUGCAUUUGAAGAGUACAGUGCAGAUGUGGAAGAGGAGGAGCCAGAGGCAGACCACCCCCAAAUGGGGGUCAGUCAGCAGUAAACGUCCGAGGGCUCCCACUGGAGAAAGAAAGUGAGCCCCGCCAUCCCCCUUGCGUGCUCCUGGGGUAACAUUUUGCAUUAGUACUUCGAAAUAGGACGUCUGGCUCCCAGCAUCCAAAUUAAAAUGAAAUACCUUUUUAACGACCACAAAAUAUCUGUGAUGAGCUUUGCUCAGAAGUGACCUGAAUUUCACUCCCGCUUCAGUGGGGUUUCUAUGGAGUUGUCUUGGUAGCCUUUGCCAUUUUGAAUUUAGAGUCCAUUUUGUGGCCGACUGUUCUCUCUUGAGUUUAUGUUGGAGAAUUAACAUUCGCUGACUCGAAUGUAGAGAACUCUGAAUGUACUAAGGAUAUGUUUUGAGUCCUCACAGGUGACCUUACUGAGGGAAAGCAUGGCAGAGAAGAAAUGCAGUCUGCACUUUUUCUGUACUUUUUCAGUGUCUGUAAGUGAAAGGUUUUGCUUAUCAAGCAUGAGUUUUCAUAUCUAGUUAUUAAACUGCACAAGUGCAGGAAAGGAUAAUCACUUAGCUUUGGAUUAAGAGGGUGAGAGAGGCCAAGAAGCCUUGAAGUGUUUUGCCAUUACUAAGUUACCUGGUGUGUAGCAACUGGUUCAUGGUUAGGUGUAAAUGUUACUUGCUUGUUCAGUUGUUUCAAAACAUGCUAAUUCCAAAGCCACUUGUAAAGUCUAAUAGUGGAAAAUAUAAAUGGGGUGAAAGACAUAAAUUAUUGAUUUAUUUAAAAUGUUUCUAAACCGUCCCACAUAUGAAAUGAAACCUUUACCUUCUCUCUUUAUAAUGAGAUGGCAACUUGUUAAAUCAUGAAGACAUCCAGAAUCCAAGUGCCACUUUAAACUUUGAAGCCAUAGAUAAAUUUAAUAGGAAAACAAACCAGGAUACAAAGCUUUUUUAAAUAUAAUGGAAUCCUUCUUUACUUUCUUAAUCUUUUAUUUUAAAAAAGUCAAGAAAAAGUUUCCAUUGUGUAAUUUAUUUAAAAAUUGUAAUCAAGUACCUCGAGGAACCUAAUUGCAGUGAAUUUUUAAAGGGACAUGAAAAUAGGAAUCUUUUAAUCUUGGGUUAACUUGGUUUAAAAGGGGUGUUUUAAUGAUCAAGAUACUGACAACUCACAGAAACAACUUCUGUGAUACCCGGAACACUGCUGACAUCAUUUAGCCAAAAUACUUCCUGGGGAAGUCCCUUGUCAUGUUCAUGCGGAAUUAUUUGAAACAUUCAUUUUCUUGGACCCUUCCACAUCUCUGGUUCUGAUAACUUAGGAUGUGGUUGCUUCCUUUGCUACACCUGUCUAAGCCUAGCCUAUGGGGCGGGAGUGUUUUUAGCAUGCGCACACGUGCCUGUUAAGUUGUCACAGUUUUGAAUUUAAAAACAAGCAGCAGCAGCAGAGGCCACAGAACCUGCGGGAGUCUUGUAUAUCUUCCAGGCAUGUCGGUGUAAACUUGAUUGUGUCAACAUGUUCUGUUUAAUUGAUUGGUGCUAUGUGAGGAGUUUGGCCACUCGUUUUGGUGAAACAGCAUCCUGCAGUUUUAAGUCUUCGGGUAAAACAAUACCACUGUGGUUUCCAUCUGUGCUUCAGUACUCACAUUAUUUUCUUAGAGAAACAUAUUAAAGGUUAAUUUCUAGUAAAAUGAAUUUCCUUACGAGUAGCCUAUUAGCAAAACCAACCUUAGUGUUUCAUCCAUUGGGGUAAACGCAUUCGGCCCUUUGCUGCAACCCUGCCUGGGUCCUGUCUCCAUUUACAAGCAAUUGUGAGCUGUAAGUUACAUAGCUGUUGCCCAGGUUUGGUAACCUCCAUUUUGACACAAUAAGCCGCAAGGCUGACUUCUGCAACGGAAAUGAAAAAGCUUGACUAGCUUGCUCAUUGGAAGAUAAACUGGAAUUUUAUGCAUAGAGGCUUAAAAUUUAAAUUUACAUGUGUUUGGAAAUGGAAUGGACAUUAGCAUAAAAUUUAUUUUGUCAAAAAAAGUGUUUAGACAUUGACCAAAUACAGGUCGGUAUUAUCAUGUUAAUGUUCUCUGUUUAUAAAAAUGGAGCUGAGCUGGACCCAGUCAUUCAGUGGGCUGAUGAGAAUCCUGGUCUUUGUUCCACCCUAGUCAGGGCUAGGGGACAGAGGACAUGGCUGUGUGGUACUUAUUUUCCAUGACAAAACCACCAAAGACAUUAACAAAUCGAAUGGUCUCCCCUAAAGCAUCCUUCUCUGUGGUUGUGUGCACACCCCUCCCCGUGUUCACACACACAUGCGCACACAGUACUUCCUGCACGUGGAUCCUCCUGUCAGGGCUGUGCACAGUGCAGAGCUCUGCCUAGGCAGCCUGUGAUUGCUAUUAGGGAAAUGGUUCCACGAUGAAAAGAGCUCCUGACCAUUCACAAACACACAUACCCACUCACCAGGGGCAGCAGGUGUGGUGGGAGGAGCAUCAACUUGGGAAAUAGGAAAGACACCUGGCUUCUGUCCUGAGUCAGCCAUUGACAUCGAGCUUGUUGACAAAUUGGUUAUUUGCCUUGACAAAAUACCUAGUCUGUGAAGAAAUGUUGGCCCUUCCAGCUAUAAACACUGUCCUUCUUUACCUGCCCACGUGUGUAUAUAAGGAGCAACAGUCCAGGAGACUUUUGGGGAUAGGAGAAGGAAAUACAUCUGGAAUCUUGUCAAGAUGCCAUCUCUAGGAUGCUGGCCCCGGGACCCCCUUAGAACAUGUUGGUUCGUGAGUGUCCAAGUCCCCUAGAGCCUGAACCUGUGGGGCUGAUGAAAUUCUGUUCCUUAGAGAGGGUGAAGUGAGCCCCAGGAGGCUUUCUUGUCUCAACUGUGUAUGCCCCGCCUGUGGAAGGCUUGGCUUUUCUUUGUGUCCUGGCUGAUGGGGGCUUAAAGUGGUGUAUGUUUAACUUAACUGAGUGGGGAGAUCUACUUGAAGACUAGCUGGAAGACUGAAAGAUGAGUACUAGGACUUUUUGCCAUGCCAUCCAAUAGAGAGAAAGUAACAGUGGAAGUCAAGAGAGUGAGAGGGAAAGUUGUGUGUGCACGCAUAUGUGCGUGUGCCUGUGUGAGAGAGAAUGGGGAACACUUGGUUGCCUACUGAUCAUUGGGCCAGCUGUGGAAUCAAAUCACGCCUUUGAUGACAUUAUAAAAGCAUGGUCCUGGAAUUGAAGGAAUCAUGCAGGUGUUGUUCUUGUGGCUACCUGGUGACUUUUCUCUACCUGAUAAUCAUACUGAGCAGCCUUCAGGAAAUCAGAGAAAAUUAUGGAGCCAGGGAGGGAGGUGAGACCCCACAUAGUGCCUGUCACCACCAUGGAUUCCGUCGCACUAAGGUGUCCACUCAUAUCUCCCAGGCCCAAAGCAAUGUGGUCUGUUUUGUGUUUUUUCAGCUACAGCAUGAAAAGUCUCUUGUGUAGGGACUCUCCUUGUGUCCUGGUGCCAGAGUUAGGUUUCCAGUGUGCUUACGUGAAAACUUUCCUCUAGUAGUUUGUCAUUUUUCAUCUGUAGACUGAAAGCAUUGUCUAGCACAAUAUGUCUCCAAAUAUUGUUUCUGUUUUAUAAGAGCACAAAGUAUAUGGACCUGAGGGAGCUGGGGUUCCAAGUGUCAUGGAAAUUUAUAGUUUAGGAGUAUGCUUUGCGUGUUAAAAUUCUCACAUUGGGAACUGUGGUGUGAACAAAUGUGAUUUCCCACAGACAGAGGCGUGAAGGAAUAAGCAGGACCUAAUUUGGGCUGGGAAAGGUGGACAAGGAGAAUGGCGGAGUUAGGAUCUGACAGUUAGUUACCACAUGAGACCCAGGAAAAUGGUUUUCAUGGGUGUCUCGCUAGGAGUCGCUUUCCUCCAAGAGACUGACUGUGUGUUGUGAGGCAAGGCCUUGUGCUGGCAGUGGCUUUGUGACUUUAAAAAUGCGCGCACCAAGGAGCUCUUUUCCUUGAUAAAAUCCACUGCCAGCUAGAGAAGCCUGUUGUUCCCACAUGCGAGCACAUCCAAGGGGGGCCCUAUCACCUGGCAGGUAGAACAUGAGCCAAGCUUCGGUCUCCCUGGCAGCUAGGAGGAGGCAGAAUGCCCUUUGGGGGCAGAGGGCAGGGCCCACCUACUCCUGAAAUGUACUUCAAGGUUGUAGAAAGAGCACAAUUAAAAUUCAAGGGAUCUCAGGCCCUCUUCCCUACAGUGAGUGUUAACUCCAGAGAGCGAGUGUUAACUCCAGAGAGCUGCAUUGCUGAUUGCUUAGUUUUCAGAGAAGCCUAACAAGUUUUUUGAAUUAAAACGAAUCCUCUUUCAUAAAGACCCAGUCAGUUCUGGUUUUGUGGUAACAGGUAUGACCCAAGAAGCUGGUCUUUUUUAGAGUGAUUCUAAAACUUACCAGAAUGCCAGUAGCCUGUGGUGUCCAUGGCAAUGUAGUGUCCAUGGCAAAAUAUCUGUAGCUCCUGCUCCCAGGGCAAAUUAUUCAAGAAUAUGUUGUCUUUUAUAUUUUUAUUUAAAUCUGGGUUAUAAAAACAGAGUAACUGUAAGCAUUCCAUGUUCAAAACCCCAUUUAAAGCACUGUAAGGCUGAAAAGGCACAAGCCAUUAAAAGUGUGUGCCAGGCCACAUAAAAACAAACAUUUAAUGUGCUUAGAACAGUAUUCAAGUUGUUUGGUACCAGAGAAGAAGCUGACAGUCUGUUCUUUGUAAACUGCCUUUUCCUGUUUUGUUUUGUUUUGUUUUGUUUCUCAAGAUUCAUUUAUUCCCCCCUCGGCACCUUCUAAUAUCCAGGCAGAUAAAGAGCAGUGAAGGGCUCUGUUCAAAUGUCAGCUUUUAAGAGGAGGAGGAAAAUCUUCAAUGCUAGGGCAGAUCUGAACUGUCUGAUCCAGUCUUAAUUUGUGUAUGAGCGCAAAACUUAGCCAUCUAUACAAGAAGCAAAAGCAAGGAGCAGUUGUUGGGGUUUUUUUUAAAGGCAAGAAAUGUUUCGUGUAGGAUGUGUGUGCUUUCUUUGCCUUCAUAAUUCUUUUCAAAGAAAUCUCUUGUAAAUUACAAAACUGUGAAAUGGGUUGCCAAAAACUGUUGCCCUUCGUUAGAUGCUUCGAACAGUGUAAAUCCUGUAUGGAAUCCUGUCCCCAUCUGCUCCCUCCUCAUGAGCGUGAGGACCUCAUCAACGAUGUAAUUACCAUACGCUUGCUAUUAAAGAGGCUUCCAAACUCA
This is a long non-coding RNA of Carlito syrichta (Philippine tarsier), 5429 nucleotides long. RefSeq lists it as uncharacterized. The transcript is spliced from 3 exons. The record is from RefSeq and is a predicted model, not a curated record. Lineage: Eukaryota; Metazoa; Chordata; Mammalia; Primates; Tarsiidae.